Macaca fascicularis (crab-eating macaque) is the source of this 1633-nucleotide long non-coding RNA. Lineage: Eukaryota; Metazoa; Chordata; Mammalia; Primates; Cercopithecidae. The record is from Ensembl.
GUGAGGAGGCGUGGGGACAUGAAUGAGCUUCCCCACUGCAGCAUUUGCCUUGAGUGGAGGAUGGGGUAAACUUCCCAGUGUAGCCCAGAAAAAAAUCUAGCUCACAAUGGCUAAAGAAUGUUGACUUAACAGCUAUAUAGGCACCUGCAGACACGGGUUGUAUGACUGGAGUGCAUCUGUUGAACGCUGUUGCAGUCAUAUCACAGGCGAAAUAGGACUUACUGGGCUAGCCUGGCCCUGGUCACUGUGAGUGCAUCAUUUUAGAACAUCAUUAUUUUGGUAAAAAGGAAAGACCACAUUCUAAGUUCCAAACAGCUGACUCAUGAGCGGACUUUUGGAAGCCACCAAUCCUUUGUCAUUGAGAGCUGCCUGAUCGCAGGGUCACACAGAAGUGUAUAAAGGCCAGACUUCAGGCAGCCAUGCGAGCAUGCUCACAGAGGCCGAGUCGUGUGGCAAGCCUCCUGGAGAAGUCUGCAGCCUUCCUGCUCCUAAGAAGCAGGCCCAGCCACACAACACAAAUUAAUUCACCCUUGGGUGAAUUAAUGGCCUGUGGGUGCAAAAAACCAAGAAGAAUUAGCUCUGUGAGGCACGCCAGGCUCUGCAAACACUCUGUAUGCCCAUAGGGGAGUGACUGCGUGGGCCUCAGCUUGUUCAUCUUGGGGAUGAAAGGGGAUGAACUACAUCAAGUCUGUCAAAUAGGUAAGAGCUUCAUGGAGUGCUGUGUGUAGAAUUCUGAGGCCACACCCAGUCUCUGUGAGAGCAAGGGGACCAGCGAGUGACUGCCAGCAUUUAUAGAUGAUGGCAUGAUUGUUAACAUAGAAACGGCCCCAACAGUUGGGAGCCCCUGGACCACUGAGUUCAUGGGUCCAUAAUCCCUAAUUCUAGUUGUUUCUAGUUGCUCAAAAGGUAGCUCUGAGAAAGCCUGCCUACCUGUCUUUAUUCCUUCCUUUCUCUCCUUUUCCCAGCCCCGUCUCCAUGGUGAUAAUGUGAUUUCCCCAUCUCUUAGGAAGGCUGCUAGACUCAUGUGAGUCAUUUGUAGGAGCUGUACAAUUUGUCAUCCACUCUGAAACAAUUUUGAGAAUGAAAGGGAGCACGUUCAAUAAUUUUCCUGGGACCACAGUUGUAACCUAGGACUCUCCUGGGGAACUGAUGUUACUUAAGGUGGUGGUUCCCAAACUUUACCAUGCAUGAGGAUUGAUGAAGGUAGAGGAGUUUUCUAGGCAGUAUCCUCAGUAUGGUUAGGGCCUGAGGACUGGCAUUCUAACAAGUUCUCAGGUGCUAUUGCUGCAGGUCCACGGACCACACUUUGAGGAGUCUAGGUUCACAGAACUCAUUCACAGCAUGUUCUUACUGAUCCUUACAGAGAGCCCAAAAGGAAAUGAAAAGUUAUCAAUAGUGUCAUGCUAAGCUGGAGAACCGAGACUCAGAGAAGGUAAGUGACUAGCUCAAGGACACCCAGCUACAAGGGGAGAAGCCCUUGUUUAAAUCCAGAGUUGCCAACUUGCAGCCUCUGCUUGGCUCACCAGGCCCAGCAGCCUCUCAGCUUAGGAGCGUUUUAAGAGCUGAGCUGAUCCCCCUGGCUCUGCAGCAAUGCCUCUUUCUCUGCAAAUGUUUCUGGCCUGGAUUAAACCCA